GGUUGUGGCUAGGAAGUUCCUGACAACCCAGGGCCAGUGAGUGUCUCGGAAGCCUGUGAGGGGCGGAGACCCGGCCCGGGGAGGUGGAGAAGCUCGGCGGCCGCGGGAGACUAGGGGUGAGGCUGCUGCGAGGAAGACCCGGUCAGCUGUCCCUUUCCCCAUCGGUCCUCUUAGGGGGAGUGGAGAUGUGGGCCUCGGAGCUGCGUGGCCCGGGCUGUGCGGAUUCCCUAAACGCCGCACUUGCGCACAGCCCCUUACGUAACCGUCAGUGCCGGGGAUUCCCUGGAGGGGGUCAUUCUAUUCAACCAUUAUACACACCCCGGGCUCCUGCCGCCGCGCCGCCGCCGCCUCACAAAAUGGCGGCGCCCAUAGAGGAGACCGCGGCCGCCUCCCCGGCCCCAUUUUGUGGGAGGCGAGAGAUCUGUCAACAUGGAAAACCUCUGCUGAGGAUGCAUUCGAGUUUGGAAACCCCACUUAAGGGAUGGAGCCUGGGGGAUCACAUUAAACGGAAAAUGCCAACGACUUCUACCACCUCUACGCGUUUUUAGUUUUUCAUUUUCUCGAAGGAAGCGCCAGAAGCCUGUGGAGUAAUUGUAACUAGAGGGAGAACGGAAAGCUGAGGUGACUGCUCCGGGGACUUGGCGCGGCGCCUUGAUGGUUUUGGUUGCUCUUCCACGCUCCCGGCAGCUGACCAGAAUCUCUUGGAGGGUCUCCUGGGCCACCUCGGCCGCGCCAGUCGUGCAGUGAGAAUUCUGUAGUUUUAAAAUGCCACAGUCCACGGCCCGGUCGGCACCGAUCGCCUGAAUCGUGGGCUUUGGGAACCUUGGAGGCUACUGCUCCAGGAACUCGCGGUCGGCCGGGAGCCGGGGAGCUUCGUUGCCGGGAGCGGGCGGUAUUCGCGGACUCCGGCGGCCCUGGCGGGUCGCGGCCGGGAUCCGAGCCGGGGAUGACGAUGCUGAUGGAGCUGAUGGGGCAAGAGUGGGAACGGAGGUUUCCUGCCUCAUCUGCCAGAGACUUCUU
Molecule: long non-coding RNA, 1020 nt
Filed under: Pan troglodytes (chimpanzee)
Lineage: Eukaryota; Metazoa; Chordata; Mammalia; Primates; Hominidae
Description: long non-coding RNA NONPTRT003499
Source: RNAcentral